Molecule: ribosomal RNA, 511 nt
Filed under: Porphyromonas sp. oral taxon B47
Lineage: Bacteria; Pseudomonadati; Bacteroidota; Bacteroidia; Bacteroidales; Porphyromonadaceae
Description: bacterial SSU rRNA
Rfam family: Bacterial small subunit ribosomal RNA
Source: RNAcentral
ACCAGCCAAGUCGCGUGAAGGAAGACAGUCCUAGGAUUGUAAACUUCUUUUAUACGGGAAUAACGGGCGAUACGAGUAUUGCAUUGAAUGUACCGUAAGAAUAAGCAUCGGCUAACUCCGUGCCAGCAGCCGCGGUAAUACGGAGGAUGCGAGCGUUAUCCGGAUUUAUUGGGUUUAAAGGGUGCGUAGGUUGUUCGGUAAGUCAGCGGUGAAACCUGAGCGCUCAACGUUCAGCCUGCCGUUGAAACUGCCGGGCUUGAGUUCAGUGGCGGCAGGCGGAAUUCGUGGUGUAGCGGUGAAAUGCAUAGAUAUCACGAGGAACUCCGAUUGCGAAGGCAGCUUGCCAUACUGCGACUGACACUGAAGCACGAAGGCGUGGGUAUCAAACAGGAUUAGAUACCCUGGUAGUCCACGCAGUAAACGAUGAUUACUAGGAGUUUGCGAUAUACCGUCAAGCUCCACAGCGAAGCGUAAGUAUCACCUGGGGAGUACGCCGGCAACGGUGAAACUC